AGGAAUACGUGGGAAUCUGCCCAGUCGUGGGGGAUAACGUAGGGAAACUUACGCUAAUACCGCAUGCGCCCUUCGGGGGAAAGCCGGGGACCUUCGGGCCUGGCGCGAUUGGAUGAGCCCACGUCGGAUUAGCUAGUUGGCGGGGUAAAGGCCCACCAAGGCGACGAUCCGUAGCUGGUCUGAGAGGAUGAUCAGCCACACUGGAACUGAGACACGGUCCAGACUCCUACGGGAGGCAGCAGUAGGGAAUAUUGGACAAUGGGCGCAAGCCUGAUCCAGCCAUGCCGCGUGAGUGAAGAAGGCCCUCGGGUUGUAAAGCUCUUUUGUCCGGAAAGAAAAGCGCCGGGUUAAUACCCUGGUGUCCUGACGGUACCGGAAGAAUAAGCACCGGCUAACUUCGUGCCAGCAGCCGCGGUAAUACGAAGGGUGCAAGCGUUACUCGGAAUUACUGGGCGUAAAGCGUGCGUAGGUGGUUCGUUAAGUCCGAUGUGAAAGCCCUGGGCUCAACCUGGGAAUGGCAUUGGAUACUGGCGGGCUAGAGUGCGGUAGAGGGUAGUGGAAUUCCCGGUGUAGCAGUGAAAUGCGUAGAGA
This 591-nucleotide ribosomal RNA is filed under the name Thermomonas haemolytica. RNAcentral describes it as "bacterial SSU rRNA". It matches the Rfam family "Bacterial small subunit ribosomal RNA", at positions 109 to 696 of the family's 1533-position model. Lineage: Bacteria; Pseudomonadati; Pseudomonadota; Gammaproteobacteria; Lysobacterales; Lysobacteraceae. The record is from RNAcentral.